GACGAACGCUGGCGGCGUGCCUAAUCCAUGCAAGUCGAACGCAGUGGGGACGGGUGAGUAACACGUGGGUAACCUCCCAUCAGAGGGGAUAACACUUGGAAACAGGUGCUAAACCGAUACUGAUGGAUGGACCCGCGGUGCAGUAGCUAGUUGGUGAGGUAACGGCGCCCCAAGGCCACGAUGCAUAGCCGACCUGGGAGGGUGAUCGGCCACACUGUGACUGAGACACGCACCAGACUCCUACGGGAGGCAGCAGUAGGGAAUCUUCGGCAAUGGACGAAAGUCUGACGGAGCAACGCCGCGUGUGUGAAUAAGGUUUUCGGAUCGUAAAACUCUGUUGGUAGAGAAGCGGUAUCUAACCAGAAAGCCACGGCUAACUCCGUGCCAGCAGCCGCGGUAAUAC
Molecule: ribosomal RNA, 403 nt
Filed under: uncultured bacterium
Lineage: Bacteria
Description: partial 16S ribosomal RNA
Rfam family: Bacterial small subunit ribosomal RNA
Source: RNAcentral